AUUGAACGCUGGCGGCAUGCUUUACACAUGCAAGUCGAACGGCAGCGCGGGCUUCGGCCUGGCGGCGAGUGGCGAACGGGUGAGUAAUACAUCGGAACGUGCCCAGUAGUGGGGGAUAGCUCGGCGAAAGCCGGAUUAAUACCGCAUACGACCUGAGGGUGAAAGCGGGGGAUCUUCGGACUUCGCGCUAUUGGAGCGGCCGAUGGCAGAUUAGCUAGUUGGUGGGGUAAAGGCCUACCAAGGCGACGAUCUGUAGCUGGUCUGAGAGGACGACCAGCCACACUGGGACUGAGACACGGCCCAGACUCCUACGGGAGGCAGCAGUGGGGAAUUUUGGACAAAGGGCGAAAGCCUGAUCCAGCAAUGCCGCGUGUGUGAUGAAGGCCUUCGGGUUUUAAAGCACUUUUGGCGGGAACGAAAAGGACUGUGCCAAUACCACGGUUCGAUGACGGUACCCGCAGAAUAAGCACCGGCUAACUACGUG
RNAcentral lists this ribosomal RNA (484 nucleotides) under uncultured bacterium. RNAcentral describes it as "partial 16S ribosomal RNA". It matches the Rfam family "Bacterial small subunit ribosomal RNA", at positions 29 to 507 of the family's 1533-position model. The record is from RNAcentral.